GAUGAACGCUGGCGGCGUGCUUAACACAUGCAAGUCGAACGAAGCACCUUAUUCUGAUUUCUUCGGAAUGAAAAAUUCGGUGACUGAGUGGCGGACGGGUGAGUAACGCGUGGGUAACCUGCCUCAUACAGGGGGAUAACAGUUAGAAAUGACUGCUAAUACCGCAUAAGACCACAGCACCGCAUGGUGCAGGGGUAAAAACUCCGGUGGUAUGAGAUGGACCCGCGUCUGAUUAGGUAGUUGGUGGGGUAACGGCCUACCAAGCCGACGAUCAGUAGCCGACCUGAGAGGGUGACCGGCCACAUUGGGACUGAGACACGGCCCAAACUCCUACGGGAGGCAGCAGUGGGGAAUAUUGCACAAUGGGGGAAACCCUGAUGCAGCGACGCCGCGUGAGCGAUGAAGUAUUUCGGUAUGUAAAGCUCUAUCAGCAGGGAAGAAAAUGACGGUACCUGACUAAGAAGCACCGGCUAA
Molecule: ribosomal RNA, 474 nt
Filed under: uncultured bacterium
Lineage: Bacteria
Description: bacterial SSU rRNA
Rfam family: Bacterial small subunit ribosomal RNA
Source: RNAcentral